GGAUCCAGACUUUGAUUAUGGCUCGGGACGAACGCUGGCGGCGCGCCUAACACAUGCAAGUCGAACGAGAGAGAGGGAGCUUGCUUCCUCAAUCGAGUGGCGAACGGGUGAGUAACGCGUGAGGAACCUGCCUCAAAGAGGGGGACAACAGUUGGAAACGACUGCUAAUACCGCAUAAGCCCACGACCCGGCAUCGGGUUGAGGGAAAAGGAGCAAUCCGCUCUGAGAUGGCCUCGCGUCCGAUUAGCUGGUUGGUGAGGUAAUGGCCCACCAAGGCGACGAUCGGUAGCCGGACUGAGAGGUUGAACGGCCACAUUGGGACUGAGACACGGCCCAGACUCCUACGGGAGGCAGCAGUGGGGAAUAUUGCACAAUGGGGGAAACCCUGAUGCAGCGACGCCGCGUGGAGGAAGAAGGUCUUCGGAUUGUAAACUCCUGUUGUUGAGGAAGAUAAUGACGGUACUCAACAAGGAAGUGACGGCUAACUACGUGCCAGCAGCCGCGGUAAAACGUAGGUCACAAGCGUUGUCCGGAAUUACUGGGUGUAAAGGGAGCGCAGGCGGGAAGACAAGUUGGAAGUGAAAUCUAUGGGCUCAACCCAUAAACUGCUUUCAAAACUGUUUUUCUUGAGUAGUGCAGAGGUAGGCGGAAUUCCCGGUGUAGCGGUGGAAUGCGUAGAUAUCGGGAGGAACACCAGUGGCGAAGGCGGCCUACUGGGCACCAACUGACGCUGAGGCUCGAAAGUGUGGGUAGCAAACAGGAUUAGAUACCCUGGUAGUCCACACCGUAAACGAUGAUUACUAGGUGUUGGAGGAUUGACCCCUUCAGUGCCGCAGUUAACACAAUAAGUAAUCCACCUGGGGAGUACGACCGCAAGGUUGAAACUCAAAUGAAUUGACGG
This 901-nucleotide ribosomal RNA is filed under the name uncultured bacterium. RNAcentral describes it as "bacterial SSU rRNA". It matches the Rfam family "Bacterial small subunit ribosomal RNA", at positions 1 to 916 of the family's 1533-position model. The record is from RNAcentral.